AGCAGUCGAGCGGAGUUGCUGAGAGUGCUUGCACCUCUGAUACUUAGCGGCGGACGGGUGAGUAACACGUGGGUAACCUGCCUGUAAGACUGGGAUAACAUUCGGAAACGAAUGCUAAUACCGGAUACGCGAUAUGGUCGCAUGACUGAAUCGGGAAAGAUGGAGCAAUCUAUCACUUACAGAUGGACCCGCGGCGCAUUAGCUAGUUGGUGAGGUAACGGCUCACCAAGGCGACGAUGCGUAGCCGACCUGAGAGGGUGAUCGGCCACACUGGGACUGAGACACGGCCCAGACUCCUACGGGAGGCAGCAGUAGGGAAUCUUCCGCAAUGGACGAAAGUCUGACGGAGCAACGCCGCGUGAGUGAUGAAGGUUUUCGGAUCGUAAAGCUCUGUUGCCAGGGAAGAAUGCUUGGGAGAGUAACUGCUCUCAAGGUGACGGUACCUGAGAAGAAAGCCCCGGCUAACUACGUGCCAGCAGCCGCGGUAAUACGUAGGGGGCAAGCGUUGUCCGGAAUUAUUGGGCGUAAAGCGCGCGCAGGCGGCUUGUAAGUCUGUUGUUUAAACUUGGGGCUCAACCCCAAGUCGCAAGGGAAACUGCAAAGCUUGAGUACAGAAGAGGAAAGUGGAAUUCCACGUGUAGCGGUGAAAUGCGUAUAGAUGUGGAGGAACACCAGUGGCGAAUGCGACUUUUCUGGGCUGUAACUGACGCUGAGGCGCGAAAGCGUGGUGGAGCAAACAGGAUUAUAUACCCUGGUAGUCCACGCCGUACACGAUGAAUGCUACGUGUUAGGGGUUUAAUACUCUUGGCGCCGAAGUUUACCUAUUAACUAUUCCGCCUGGGAGUACGGUCGCAAGACUGAUACUC
RNAcentral lists this ribosomal RNA (866 nucleotides) under Paenibacillus sp. CC3. Its description in RNAcentral is "bacterial SSU rRNA". It matches the Rfam family "Bacterial small subunit ribosomal RNA", at positions 56 to 902 of the family's 1533-position model. Lineage: Bacteria; Bacillati; Bacillota; Bacilli; Caryophanales; Paenibacillaceae. The record is from RNAcentral.